Non-coding RNA from Schistosoma curassoni, 45 nucleotides. NCBI's taxonomy places the organism in Eukaryota, Metazoa, Platyhelminthes, Trematoda, Strigeidida, Schistosomatidae. The record is from Rfam.
AUCCAGGACGCGAGUCCCAAAUAGGACGAAACGCUCGUCCUGGAU